This 255-nucleotide ribosomal RNA is filed under the name uncultured bacterium. Its description in RNAcentral is "partial 16S ribosomal RNA". It matches the Rfam family "Bacterial small subunit ribosomal RNA", at positions 524 to 776 of the family's 1533-position model. The record is from RNAcentral.
UACGUAGGGUGCGAGCGUUAAUCGGAAUUACUGGGCGUAAAGCGUGCGCAGGCGGUGAUGUAAGACAGGUGUGAAAUCCCCGGGCUUAACCUGGGAACUGCAUUUGUGACUGCAUAGCUAGAGUACGGUAGAGGGGGAUGGAAUUCCGCGUGUAGCAGUGAAAUGCGUAGAUAUGCGGAGGAACACCGAUGGCGAAGGCAAUCCCCCUGGACCUGUACUGACGCUCAUGCACGAAAGCGUGGGGGAGCAAACAGG